UACGGAGGGUGCAAGCGUUAUCCGGAUUCACUGGGUUUAAAGGGUGCGUAGGCGGGCAGGUAAGCCCGUGGUGAAAUCUCUGAGCUUAACUCAGAAACUGCCAUGGAUACUAUUUGUCUUGAAUGUUGUGGAGGUAAGCGGAAUAUGUCAUGUAGCGGUGAAAUGCUUAGAUAUGACAUAGAACACCAAUUGCGAAGGCAGCUUACUACACAAAUAUUGACGCUGAGGCACGAAAGCGUGGGGAUCAAACAGG
Molecule: ribosomal RNA, 253 nt
Filed under: uncultured bacterium
Lineage: Bacteria
Description: partial 16S ribosomal RNA
Rfam family: Bacterial small subunit ribosomal RNA
Source: RNAcentral